CCUCCCAGGUUCAAGCGAUUCUCCUGCCUCAGCCUCCCAAGUAGCUGGAACUACAGAUAACUGAUACCGUGCUUCCAGAAGAUUUUUCUAACAGUGUUUGCAAGCUAUAAAAUAGUGCUUUCACUUAGAAAAGGCUAGACGUGGUGGUUCAUGCCUGUAAUCCCAGCACUUUGAGAGGCCGAGGCACCAUGCUGGGAGAUAAGGAUCCAACAUAAGACAAACAGUGCUGAUGCUUUUGGAAAGCUCAUAUUCAAGCUGGGGAGACAAACAACAUACAAGAGGGCUCUGAGAGAUUUCAUUUCUGUCCUGCUGAUGAAGUCUACGUUCAUUCAGGGCCUGCUGUGGAAGACCAGCCCCAAAGUUGCUGAACAGAAGACUUUUGAGAGUCAGCAGAAAUCUUCCACUUUGCAUGGUUCUCUUGAUGUGAAAUCAUCUAUAUAGCCCCAGAAUUGGAAAAGAAAAAAAAUAAAAAAAUGGAAGGAAACUGGA
Molecule: long non-coding RNA, 489 nt
Filed under: Homo sapiens (human)
Lineage: Eukaryota; Metazoa; Chordata; Mammalia; Primates; Hominidae
Description: CCDC18 antisense RNA 1
Source: RNAcentral